RNAcentral lists this small RNA (557 nucleotides) under uncultured Fusobacterium sp. Its description in RNAcentral is "bacterial SSU rRNA". The stretch from base 1 to 341 matches the Rfam family "Bacterial small subunit ribosomal RNA", at positions 1194 to 1533 of the family's 1533-position model. The record is from RNAcentral. Lineage: Bacteria; Fusobacteriati; Fusobacteriota; Fusobacteriia; Fusobacteriales; Fusobacteriaceae.
CAUGCCCCUUAUAUGCUGGGCUACACACGUGCUACAAUGGGUAGAACAGAGAGUUGCAAAGCCGUGAGGUGAAGCUAAUCUCAGAAAACUAUUCUUAGUUCGGAUUGUACUCUGCAACUCGAGUACAUGAAGUUGGAAUCGCUAGUAAUCGCGAAUCAGCAAUGUCGCGGUGAAUACGUUCUCGGGUCUUGUACACACCGCCCGUCACACCACGAGAGUUGGUUGCACCUGAAGUAGCAGGCCUAACCGUAAGGAGGGAUGCUCCGAGGGUGUGAUUAGCGAUUGGGGUGAAGUCGUAACAAGGUAUCCGUACGGGAACGUGCGGAUGGAUCACCUCCUUUCUAAGGAGUAUAAGUCUUUCUCUAUUCUAUUGGUAAUGUUCUUUACAUUACUUCUGAACAUUGGAAACUAUAUAGUAGAACAAACAAGAAAAAAAUUAACUCUAACAAUUUCUUAGAGUUAGCUGUCAAAAAAUAGAUUAAAAUAAUUAAGGGCACACAAAGGAUGCCUAGGUAGUAAGAGCCGAUGAAGGACGUGGUAAGCUGCGAUAAGCCUAG